RNAcentral lists this ribosomal RNA (466 nucleotides) under Pseudohynobius shuichengensis. RNAcentral describes it as "partial 16S ribosomal RNA". It matches the Rfam family "Bacterial large subunit ribosomal RNA", at positions 1969 to 2594 of the family's 2925-position model. Lineage: Eukaryota; Metazoa; Chordata; Amphibia; Caudata; Hynobiidae. The record is from RNAcentral.
UUGUCUUUUAAAUAAAGACCAGUAUGAAUGGCAAGACGAAAGUUCAACUGUCUCCCUAAAUUAAUCAAUGAAAUUGAUUUUCCCGUGCAGAAGCGGGAAUAAAAUUAUAAGACGAGAAGACCCUAUGGAGCUUUAGAUAUAUGAUCAACUGUAUAACAUAAAACCCAAAAGAUAAAAUAUUAAAUUAAACAUAAUGAUCAAAAUCUUAGGUUGGGGCGACCACGGAGAAAAACAAAACCUCCGAGAUGAAAAAAAUAUCUUAACUUAUGAACUACAGUUCUAAAAAAUAAAAUAUUUAACACAAUUGAUCCAACAUGUUGAUCAACGAACUAAGUUACCCUAGGGAUAACAGCGCAAUCCUUUCCAAGAGUCCCUAUCGACGAAUGGGUUUACGACCUCGAUGUUGGAUCAGGACACCCCAAUGGUGUAGCCGCUAUUAAAGGUUCGUUUGUUCAACGAUUAAAGU